UACACUCCUACGGGAGGCAGCAGUGGGGAAUUUUGGACAAUGGGCGAAAGCCUGAUCCAGCAAUGCCGCGUGAGUGAAGAAGGCCUUCGGGUUGUAAAGCUCUUUUGUCAGGGAAGAAACGGUGAAAGCUAAUAUCUUUUGCUAAUGACGGUACCUGAAGAAUAAGCACCGGCUAACUACGUGCCAGCAGCCGCGGUAAUACGUAGGGUGCAAGCGUUAAUCGGAAUUACUGGGCGUAAAGCGUGCGCAGGCGGUUUUGUAAGUCUGAUGUGAAAUCCCCGGGCUCAACCUGGGAAUUGCAUUGGAGACUGCAAGGCUAGAAUCUGGCAGAGGGGGGUAGAAUUCCACGUGUAGCAGUGAAAUGCGUAGAUAUGUGGAGGAACACCGAUGGCGAAGGCAGCCCCCUGGGUCAAGAUUGACGCUCAUGCACGAAAGCGUGGGGAGCAAACAGGAUUAGAAACCCCUGUAGUCCC
RNAcentral lists this ribosomal RNA (473 nucleotides) under uncultured organism. Its description in RNAcentral is "partial 16S ribosomal RNA". It matches the Rfam family "Bacterial small subunit ribosomal RNA", at positions 332 to 797 of the family's 1533-position model. The record is from RNAcentral.